UACGUAGGUGGCAAGCGUUGUCCGGAAUUACUGGGUGUAGAGGGAGCGCAGGCGGGAAGCCAAGUCAGCUGUGAAAACUACGGGCUUAACUUGUAGACUGCAGUUGAAACUGGUUUUCUUGAGUGAAGUAGAGGUUGGCGGAAUUCCGAGUGUAGCGGUGAAAUGCGUAGAUAUUCGGAGGAACACUGGUGGCGAAGGCGGCCAACUGGGCUUUAACUGACGCUGAGGCUCGAAAGUGUGGGGAGCAAACAGG
Molecule: ribosomal RNA, 253 nt
Filed under: uncultured bacterium
Lineage: Bacteria
Description: partial 16S ribosomal RNA
Rfam family: Bacterial small subunit ribosomal RNA
Source: RNAcentral